CACUUUAGAGAGGACUGCCGGUGUUAAGCCGGAGGAAGGUGGGGAUGACGUCAAGUCCUCAUGGCCUUUACUGUCUAGGGCUACACACGUGCUACAAAUGGGUGGUACAAAGAGCAGCUAACUCGCGAGAGUAUGCAAAUCUCAAAAAGCCAUCCUCAGUUCGGAUUGGAGUCUGCAACUCGACUCCAUGAAGUUGGAAUCGCUAGUAAUCGCGGAUCAGCAUGCCCGCGGUUCCGAAUACGUUCCGGCCUU
Molecule: ribosomal RNA, 252 nt
Filed under: uncultured Smithella sp.
Lineage: Bacteria; Pseudomonadati; Thermodesulfobacteriota; Syntrophia; Syntrophales; Smithellaceae
Description: partial 16S ribosomal RNA
Rfam family: Bacterial small subunit ribosomal RNA
Source: RNAcentral